AAGAUUAAAACUCAAAGGAAUUGACGGGGGCCCGCACAAGCAGCGGAGCAUGUGGUUUAAUUCGAAGCAACGCGAAGAACCUUACCUAGACUUGACAUCUCCUGAAUUACUCUUAAUCGAGGAAGUCGCUUCGGCGACAGGAAGACAGGUGGUGCAUGGUUGUCGUCAGCUCGUGUCGUGAGAUGUUGGGUUAAGUCCCGCAACGAGCGCAACCCUUAUUGUUAGUUGCUACCAUUUAGUUGAGCACUCUAGCGAGACUGCCGUGGUUAACGCGGAGGAAGGUGGGGAUGACGUCAAAUCAUCAUGCCCCUUAUGUCUAGGGCUACACACGUGCUACAAUGGCUGGUACAAAGAGAUGCAAUACCGCGAGGUGGAGCUAAACUAUAAAACCAGUCUCAGUUCGGAUUGUAGGCUGAAACUCGCCUACAUGAAGCUGGAGUUGCUAGUAAUCGCGAAUCAGAAUGUCGCGGUGAAUACGUUCCCGGGCCUUGUACACACCGCCCGUCACACCAUGAGAGUUGGCAAUACCCAAAGUUCGUGAGCUAACCCGUAAGGGAGGCAGCGACCUAAGGUAGGGUCAGCGAUUGGGGUGAAGUCGUAACAAGGUAGCCGUAGGAGAACCUGCGGCUGGAUCACCUCCUUUCUAUGGAGA
Molecule: ribosomal RNA, 652 nt
Filed under: Clostridium botulinum
Lineage: Bacteria; Bacillati; Bacillota; Clostridia; Eubacteriales; Clostridiaceae
Description: bacterial SSU rRNA
Rfam family: Bacterial small subunit ribosomal RNA
Source: RNAcentral